This is a non-coding RNA of Acanthosepion pharaonis, 107 nucleotides long. The record is from the annotation of a GenBank genome assembly. Lineage: Eukaryota; Metazoa; Mollusca; Cephalopoda; Sepiida; Sepiidae.
UCAAAUCGCACUGAAAACCCACAUUCUCAUUCAAUCACUGAAGUUAAGCAAUGUCGAGUUUGGUCAGUACUUAGAUGAGGGGCAGCUUGGGAAUACCUGGUAGUGUA